This 1627-nucleotide long non-coding RNA is filed under the name Homo sapiens (human). RNAcentral's name for it is "HSALNT0025124". The record is from RNAcentral. Lineage: Eukaryota; Metazoa; Chordata; Mammalia; Primates; Hominidae.
CAGGGAAGGCUCAAUUUUUAUGUUUUUUGAUUAUACUCCUGUUCACACAGUUAUACAAUCUGAGGAUCUACUCUAGUAAAAAUGCCAUUUUAUAUUUAAUCUAUGUAUUAUUUGUGUAUAUGUUUGUAUAUGUGCAUGUAAUAUGGGCUAAUUCAUGGAAGAGUGUAGCUUGAUAAGCAAAAAUGUUUUCUCAUUGUUGAUAUGAAUCCAUUAAUGCCAUCUGUGAAGCUAUCUGUAGGAUGAUGACAUGCAAAUUUUCCUUUUACUUUUUUCUAAAUGUAAAGAAUAUUUUUGUGGGUGUGUAGAAAUAAAAGGGCAACACGAUCAUGUAGAAAUGAAUCUGCCCAAAUAUAAAUGGUAAGUUUGUAAUUAAAAUUACAAAAUUAAAAAAGCCUAAUCCUGGCUUCUUCCUUAUCAGUCAAGAUCCUUCAAAGUUGUUUGAGCGCUUCACCUGCAUUUCUUUGUAUCUGUAGUUAGUCCUUGAACUUGCAGAAAGGUUUUGCUAUGGUUUCCUCUUUUGGAGUAUUUUCUCUUGCAAGUGAAAUGGAGAAGGUAAUUUUUAUGUAGUAUUUUUCAUUCAGUUUAGUCUAGUCUUGCAGUUGGACACUUCAUUUGGCAUAUGGUCUUUGGAAUGAUCACGGUUGUCCAUUUCCACUGAGUUCUGUUGGUUGUCCUUAUGAAAAGUAGCUAACAAAAUGUCCUUGAGCAGUUUUCUUUAAUCAUCUGGAGUUGAUCUCCUGGCUCAACAUCGGUAGAUGCUUCCUUGGUGUGAAAUUUGGGGCCUGUUUUAGGUCCUUCAUAUGUGUUCUCAUUUAGUCCUCAGGGCAACUCUGUGAGAUGGAAACUGAGUGAAGCUGAAGGAGGUGGAAAUUUGCUCCAGGGAAACAGCUCUCACGCGACAAAGGCGGAAGGCAAACCUAGGUCUCGCUGACUCCAAGUCUGUGUUCUUUCCAUCACUAGGGAAGAAGAGGCACAUGAAUGACUGAAACUAAAAACAAACGUUAAAACGCUAUCAAUUUUGCACAUAAUAGAAGGGAGAAAUUAUGAUCACUACAAUGCUGGGAAUGUACAUCUUAACAUAUUGCUCCUAAUUUCUUAUCAGCAGAUUUUAAAAAUGCAUCUAUCUAGGUUUGCUUUAAAAAUAGAUCAGUUAGAAGGCAAAAUUGUACGAGUGGAUAUUAUUAAUGAUACUGAAUUUCCAUGUAUGUGAACUAGCAUUGAGUGGCACUUUGAUAACACUCAUCUAAUCCUAUUUAGUGCCCUUUCUCUCUUUUGCUGUCAAAGCCUAGGUACGGGUUCGUGCUUUGUCUCAUAACCUCUUGGUUAAAAUGUAACAUCUGGGCCGGGCGUGGUGGCUCACGCCUGUAAUCCCAACACUUUGGGAGGCUGAGGUGGGCAGAUCAAGAGGUCAAGAGAUGGAGAACCUUGUCUCUUGACAUGGUAAAACCCCCUCGCUACUAAAAAUACAAAAAUUAGCCAGGUGUGGUGGCAGGCGCCUGUAAUCCCAGCUACUCAGGAGGCUGAGGUAGGAGAAUCGCUUGAACCCGGGAGGUGGAGGUUGCAGGGAGCCGAGAUCACGCCACUGCACUGCAGCCUGGCAACAGUGCGAGACUCCGUCAAAAAAAAA